RNAcentral lists this transfer RNA (72 nucleotides) under Calidithermus terrae. RNAcentral's name for it is "Meiothermus terrae tRNA-Gly". Lineage: Bacteria; Thermotogati; Deinococcota; Deinococci; Thermales; Thermaceae. The record is from RNAcentral.
GCACUCUCGAGAUCCGGGGGUUCGGCUCGCUGCCCGUGAGCCUGUGGCCGUUCGUCACGGCCGGGGUGCUCC